Molecule: ribosomal RNA, 1213 nt
Filed under: metagenome
Description: bacterial SSU rRNA
Rfam family: Bacterial small subunit ribosomal RNA
Source: RNAcentral
ACAGGAAGCAGCUUGCUGCUUCGCUGACGAGUGGCGGACGGGUGAGUAAUGUCUGGGAAGCUGCCUGAUGGAGGGGGAUAACUACUGGAAACGGUAGCUAAUACAGCAUAAUGUCGCAAGACCAAAGAGGGGGACCUUCGGGCCUCUUGCCAUCGGAUGUGCCCAGAUGGGAUUAGCUUGUUGGUGGGGUAACGGCUCACCAAGGCGACGAUCCCUAGCUGGUCUGAGAGGAUGACCAGCCACACUGGAACUGAGACACGGUCCAGACUCCUACGGGAGGCAGCAGUGGGGAAUAUUGCACAAUGGGCGCAAGCCUGAUGCAGCCAUGCCGCGUGUAUGAAGAAGGCCUUCGGGUUGUAAAGUACUUUCAGCGGGGAGGAAGGGAGUAAAGUUAAUACCUUUGCUCAUUGACGUUACCCGCAGAAGAAGCACCGGCUAACUCCGUGCCAGCAGCCGCGGUAAUACGGAGGGUGCAAGCGUUAAUCGGAAUUACUGGGCGUAAAGCGCACGCAGGCGGUUUGUUAAGUCAGAUGUGAAAUCCCCGGGCUCAACCUGGGAACUGCAUCUGAUACUGGCAAGCUUGAGUCUCGUAGGGGGGGGUAGAAUUCCAGGUGUAGCGGUGAAAUGCGUAGAGAUCUGGAGGAAUACCGGUGGCGAAGGCGGCCCCCUGGACGAAGACUGACGCUCAGGUGCGAAAGCGUGGGGAGCAAACAGGAUUAGAUACCCUGGUAGUCCACGCCGUAAACGAUGUCGACUUGGAGGUUGUGCCCUUGAGGCGUGGCUUCCGGAGCUAACGCGUUAAGUCGACCGCCUGGGGAGUACGGCCGCAAGGUUAAAACUCAAAUGAAUUGACGGGGGCCCGCACAAGCGGUGGAGCAUGUGGUUUAAUUCGAUGCAACGCAAAGAACCUUACCUGGUCUUGACAUCCACGGAAGUUUUCAGAGAUGAGAAUGUGCCUUCGGGAACCGUGAGACAGGUGCUGCAUGGCUGUCGUCAGCUCGUGUUGUGAAAUGUUGGGUUAAGUCCCGCAACGAGCGCAACCCUUAUCCUUUGUUGCCAGCGGUCCGGCCGGGAACUCAAAGGAGACUGCCAGUGAUAAACUGGAGGAAGGUGGGGAUGACGUCAAGUCAUCAUGGCCCUUACGACCAGGGCUACACACGUGCUACAAUGGCGCAUACAAAGAGAAGCGACCUCGCGAGAGCAAGCGGACCUC